Trachemys scripta elegans is the source of this 995-nucleotide long non-coding RNA. RefSeq lists it as uncharacterized. Lineage: Eukaryota; Metazoa; Chordata; Testudines; Emydidae. The transcript is spliced from 3 exons. The record is from RefSeq and is a predicted model, not a curated record.
GCCGUUAUCCAACUCCUCCCCAUUCUCCGCGUCCGACUCCAUCGCCCCCAACCCCGGCUCCGCGGCCGCGCCGUUUACAUCGGUCUCCUAGGAACAAGAACAGCCUCUGCCAUUGGCUAUUGCGGUGCUUCCCCGCACGCCGGCCUUCGAACAUGCAGCUGAUUGGUUGCCGCCGGCAGUAAGAGUUUAGCCAAUGAGUGACAGGUUGGCAUUUAAAGGGCCAGUGCAGUAUUGAGAGAGGGAGGCGGAGGCUGUUGGGGUUUUCUACUGUGGGGCUUAGAGCCCUGGGUCUUUGUCCUUUAUUCCCUGCCUGGCACUUGAUCCCAACAUCUGCCCUCUUCUCUACCAGCCACUCCUAUGGGGGCAGGGUAGCUUUGCAUAGCAGCAGAGCUGAGAAAUAAGGAGCUGAUAGUGUGGACAAAACAGAACCAGUUUGGGUCAAAAUCACUUUUGAUUGUAAAAGAGGGUCGGUGGGGAUGGAGGUCUGCCAUAGACCCCCAGGAUCCCACUUGGGUAUAGCUAGAGAAUGCGAUAAUAAUAUUAGAGCAAUGAAUACUAGGGGAAUUGUGACAUAAUGGGAGACUUUAACUUCACAGCACAUUAUAGUGGUAGGGCCCUGUGAUUGCUGGAUGGGAUAAGUUUUCUUCAAAUCCUCACCAAAUCAAUGAGAAAUGAUGCAAGUUAGACCUGGUGUUGGGCAGCCUUUGGGAAACCAAGGGAAUUAAUUAAAAGAUAUCAACCAUGAUGAAGAGCUCAAGAAAAUAAAUACAUAGGAGGCUUGGAAUGUCUUCAAAUCAACUAUACAAAAAUGGAAAUUUGCAACCCAAGCAAGGAAAAAAACUUGUUGGGGAAAGGCACGAGAUCCAACUGGAUGAAUAACCACCUCAAAAAGGCCUGCUUUGCCUUAUAUUUGUGUCAGGUGGACUCACCAUAACCAUGCAUUAAACAAGUUCCAGGAGUUCAUCAAGGAGCUGGCCCAGGUGCAGCAACCGCUC